CUAGGUGUAGUGGUCCUUUUUUUUUUUUAUUUUUAUUUUUUUUUUUUUUACCCUGCAAUGUAAAGAAUUGCUGUUUUAGUAGAUAUAACAAAGCUUACAUUGCAGGGUUAAAUAGACCUCUAAUGGCUGUCUUCCUAAUCUACUUUUAUAAUUUAGGAUAGCCUUGGUACCCAAUAUUUAAAAAAAAUGAAAUAAAUAAGUUUUCCUUGAUAACUAGCCAGAGAGCACUACCUUAGGUUGUGUGUGUUCUCACUGUUUUUAUUGAUG
Molecule: non-coding RNA, 267 nt
Organism: Pelobates cultripes (western spadefoot toad)
Lineage: Eukaryota; Metazoa; Chordata; Amphibia; Anura; Pelobatidae
Source: the annotation of a GenBank genome assembly